This is an RNA transcript of Phragmites australis (common reed), 1283 nucleotides long. RefSeq lists it as uncharacterized. Lineage: Eukaryota; Viridiplantae; Streptophyta; Magnoliopsida; Poales; Poaceae. The transcript is spliced from 8 exons. The record is from RefSeq and is a predicted model, not a curated record.
AGGCUCUGUUCAUUUCUUCCCAAUUGGCGUCUGAACCACUUGGCGCUCCGUGACGGCCCAACGCCUCCACUCCCUUGCCGCCGCCGGCGAUCACUCGCACCACCGCCUCCACAGAAAGAUGACGACGGAGGGCGCUCCGGAGAGGGCUGCGGGCACCACCAGGCUCGCCUACUUCGAUGACAUGUGGGCCCUCCGCUCCCCCGCCACCGUCCUCGCCGUCCACCAGACCCUAGGCCGGGCCCUGGCUAAGGUAAGCUCCUGGUGUCUGCAGGAGGAGGGCGGCCGGCGAGCGGUGGUGCUGGACGCCACGGUCUUCCACCCGCAGGGCGGCGGCCAGCCAGCGGACACCGGCGCCAUAUCCGCCGCUGGCGCUAGGUUCCUCGUCGACGAUGUGCGGGCAAAGGAUGGAGUGGUUUUCCACUAUGGAAGAUUUGAGGGUGCUGGAGAAGGAUGCAAGGAUGAAUUCAACGAAGGGGAAAGCGUUAGCUUGGAAGUCGACGCAGAACGGCGUACGUUGAAUUCCAGGCUUCAUUCUGCAGGCCAUUUGUUGGACAUCUGUAUGCGUAAUGUAGGCCUGUCUCAUCUGGAACCUGGGAAAGGCUAUCAUUUUCCUGAUGGAGCUUUUGUUGAAUAUAAAGGAGUUGUUCCACCAGAUCAGUUACAAGAUAAGCAAAAUGAGCUAGAAAGAGAAGCUAAUAAGCUAAUUUCGGAAGGAGCCAAGGUGUUAGCUUCCGUUUUUCCUUAUGAUGAGGCAGCUCAAUUAUGUGGUGGUUAUCUGCCUAGCUACAUUUCAAAGUUCUUUUUUGAGGGGAGUGGCUCUACAAUUGUGUAUGUCAUCAACAUUUGUUCGUGGCCUAAUGUUUUUUACCUCAGGAUAGCACCCCUCGAAUUGUGAAAUUUGGUGAUUACCCUGGUUGUCCUUGUGGUGGUACUCAUGUUGCGGACAUCUCAAUCAUCAAUAGCCUAAAGGUGACAAAUAUACGAGUCAAGAAAGGCCUCACCAAAGUCUCUUACAGCAUCAGCACAUGAUUUUUCAUGCACUUCUCACUCUUGGAACUGAACUUGUCAGAGAAAUGAAUGGGAAAAGAUUAAGUGAUUCAGAAGGCUGAUAUCAGUGGCUUCAUAAAUUUACCUGUAUUGGUUAAUACUCUGAAAAUUUGUGGUUAGCUCUUUGAUGGAAACAUCUCCUCUUGUAUCCUGUGUCUGUCAUAGCAGAGCAGCAGUUCUGCUUUCUCAUGUAUCACAUACCUAUGAAAUUGUAAUAAAAUUACCAGAUUUCCCUU